AAAACAUGCCUACGGGAGGCAGCAGUGGGGAAUAUUGGACAAUGGGGGAAACCCUGAUCCAGCAAUGCCGCGUGAGCGAUGAAGGCCUUAGGGUUGUAAAGCUCUUUUACCCGGGAUGAUAAUGACAGUACCGGGAGAAUAAGCCUCGGCUAACUCCGUGCCAGCAGCCGCGGUAAUACGGAGGGGGCUAGCGUUGUUCGGAAUUACUGGGCGUAAAGCGCACGUAGGCGGCUAUUCAAGUCAGGGGUGAAAGCCCGGGGCUCAACCCCGGAAUUGCCCUUGAAACCAGAUAGCUAGAAUCUGGGAGAGGUGAGUGGAAUUCCGAGUGUAGAGGUGAAAU
This 340-nucleotide ribosomal RNA is filed under the name uncultured bacterium. RNAcentral's name for it is "bacterial SSU rRNA". It matches the Rfam family "Bacterial small subunit ribosomal RNA", at positions 330 to 687 of the family's 1533-position model. The record is from RNAcentral.